Molecule: long non-coding RNA, 498 nt
Filed under: Elaeis guineensis (African oil palm)
Lineage: Eukaryota; Viridiplantae; Streptophyta; Magnoliopsida; Arecales; Arecaceae
Description: long non-coding RNA (EGUI_LNC031471)
Source: RNAcentral
UUUUUUUCUUUUUGCUUUUGCUUUUGUUUUUGAUUUUGUGAUGGGCUUCUCGCCCGUUUAGGGAUGGCAAUGGGUAGGGUUUGGAUCGGGUAGUAUACUACCCAUCCCCAAACCCGAACUUAAUACCCUAUACCCAAACCCUACCCGAUACCCAAUCGGGUAAGAAAAGAGAUACCCAUCCCCAUACCCAACGGGUUCGGGGAUACCCAUGGGUAACCCAUUUCCCCAUACCCAAUCCAUACCCGCCCCAUACCUAACCCAUACCCAUCCAUUCUAUACAAAAAAAAAAGUAAAAUAAUUUUAUGCAUACUAUCAAUCAAAAAUAGAAUUACCAAUUAUAUAUACAUACAUCCAUACAUACGCACAUACACACUUCUAACACACACACACAUACAUACAUGCAUACAUAUAUGCAUGCAUACAUAUACAUACAUACAUAUAUAUAAUUAUAUAUAUAUAGAGAGAGAGAGAGAGAAAGAGAGAGAGAUCAUAUAUAUG